Molecule: long non-coding RNA, 248 nt
Organism: Gossypium arboreum
Lineage: Eukaryota; Viridiplantae; Streptophyta; Magnoliopsida; Malvales; Malvaceae
Exons: 3
Source: RefSeq, a predicted model, not a curated record
ACGUUUCAACUUCAACCCAUAACAGGUAUAGAUGCGAUAAAUACGAUAAGAUCGGUGUUUGGAUCGAUGGAACGUGUAAGAACUCAAUUUUUUGCACGAUGGUAAUCCCUAAGCUUAGAUGGUUUGGAGCUGCGGGGGACUCGGAGAUGGCCACACUACUGUUUCUGUUUCUUUUAAUUGUAAUAAGUAGCCGACUUAUUUCUUUAUAAGUUAUUAUUUGGUUUUGGGUUGUAAUAAGGCCACUUUAA